AGCAGCCGCGGUAAUUCCAGCUCCAAUAGCGUAUAUUAAAGUUGUUGCAGUUAAAAAGCUCGUAGUUGAAUUUCGGGAUUGACGUGAUGGUCAUGCCUUAAGGGGUAUGAACUGUUACUGUUGAUUUCUCACCUUCUGGAGAAACUUGAUGUCCUUUAUUGGGUGUCUUGCGGAUCCAGGACCUUUACCUUGAAAAAAUUAGAGUGUUUAAAGCAGGCAUUUUUGCUCGAAUACAUUAACAUGGAAUAAUAGAAUAGGACGGCAUGGUUCUAUUUUGUUGGUUUCUAGGAUCACCGUAAUGAUUAAUAGGGAUAGUUGGGGGCAUUAGUAUUCAAUUGUCAGAGGUGAAAUUCUUGGAUUUAUUGAAGACUAACUACUGCGAAAGCAUUUGCCAAGGAUGUUUUCAUUAAUCAAGAACGAAAGUUAGGGGAUCGAAGACGAUCAGAUACC
RNAcentral lists this ribosomal RNA (450 nucleotides) under uncultured Entrophospora. RNAcentral describes it as "SSU rRNA". It matches the Rfam family "Eukaryotic small subunit ribosomal RNA", at positions 569 to 1016 of the family's 1831-position model. The record is from RNAcentral. Lineage: Eukaryota; Fungi; Glomeromycota; Glomeromycetes; Entrophosporales; Entrophosporaceae.